This 1103-nucleotide long non-coding RNA is filed under the name Cyanistes caeruleus (blue tit). RNAcentral's name for it is "lncRNA (ENSCCEG00000000575.1)". Lineage: Eukaryota; Metazoa; Chordata; Aves; Passeriformes; Paridae. The record is from RNAcentral.
AGGGACACUGCCAGGCACGGGGACACCUCCAGGUGCGGGGACACUGCCGGGCACAGGGACACUGCCAGGCACGGGGACACCUCCAGGUGCGGGGACACCGCUGGGCACAGGGACACCGCUGGACACGGGGACACUGCUGGGCACGGGGACACUGCUGGACACGGGGACACCGCUGGGAACUGGGACACCUCCAGGCACGGGGACACUGCCGGACACGGGGACACCUCCAGGUAUGGGGACACCUCCAGGUACGGGGACACCUCCAGGCACGGGGACACUGCUGGGCACGGGGACACUGCUGGGCACGGGGACACCCCUGAGCACAGGGACACCGCUGGGCAGGGGGACAGGGUCACCCAUGGGGAUGGCACAACUCAUGGGGACACCACCACCCAUGGGGACACCAGCAACCGUGGGGACAUCAGCUAUGGAGACACCACCAGCUGCGGGGACACUCCCAACCAUGGGGACACCACCACCUGUGGGGACUUCAUCAACCACGGGGACACCAGUGGACACAGGGGCUUGGGGACACCCAGGACACCCAUGGGGACAUCACCCAUGGGGACAUCACCACUCCCACCAGGAUUUCAUCAGCUGAGGGGACACCAUGAAACACAGGGACACUGGGGCUUGGGGACAUCUUCACCCAUGGGGACAGCAGGACAUGGAGACACCGGGACAGAGGGACACAGCCACCCCCAGGGCCACAGGGACACGGGACAGGGAUUGGACACCCCUGGGAGCUCUGAGAUGGGGCCACCAGGACGUGGGGCCAGGGGGACCCAGAGAUGGGGAGGGGACAUGAGGCAGGGGACGUGGUGAGCACUGGGGACCGUGUCACCGCUUGCGUCACAUGUCCCCAACCCCUCCUGAUGUCCCCAUCCCCUCUCAGCGUGUCCCUGUCCCUGCUCCACCUCGGCGCAGCUCCCCAGGGAUGGGGACAUCCGGCCAGCUGUGACUCCGUGUCCCCAAGGGUCCCCUCUGUGAUGUCCCCAACCCCUCCCUGAUGUCCCCACCAUUCUCCUCAAUGUCCCCAACCCGUCCCAUGUCCCCUCUGUGAUUUCCCCAACCUGACCCAUGUCCCCACCGUACCCCUCAAU